This 774-nucleotide ribosomal RNA is filed under the name Bacillus sp. DLS8. RNAcentral describes it as "bacterial SSU rRNA". It matches the Rfam family "Bacterial small subunit ribosomal RNA", at positions 8 to 763 of the family's 1533-position model. The record is from RNAcentral. Lineage: Bacteria; Bacillati; Bacillota; Bacilli; Caryophanales; Bacillaceae.
AGAGUUUGAUCCUGGCUCAGGACGAACGCUGGCGGCGUGCCUAAUACAUGCAAGUCGAGCGGAUUGAUGGGAGCUUGCUCCCAUCAAUCAGCGGCGGACGGGUGAGUAACACGUGGGUAACCUGCCUGUAAGACUGGGAUAACUCCGGGAAACCGGGGCUAAUACCGGAUAACUCAUUUCCUCGCAUGAGGAAAUGUUGAAAGAUGGCUUCUUGCUAUCACUUACAGAUGGACCCGCGGCGCAUUAGCUAGUUGGUGAGGUAACGGCUCACCAAGGCGACGAUGCGUAGCCGACCUGAGAGGGUGAUCGGCCACACUGGGACUGAGACACGGCCCAGACUCCUACGGGAGGCAGCAGUAGGGAAUCUUCCGCAAUGGACGAAAGUCUGACGGAGCAACGCCGCGUGAGUGAUGAAGGUUUUCGGAUCGUAAAACUCUGUUGUUAGGGAAGAACAAGUACCGUUCGAAUAGGGCGGUACCUUGACGGUACCUAACCAGAAAGCCACGGCUAACUACGUGCCAGCAGCCGCGGUAAUACGUAGGUGGCAAGCGUUGUCCGGAAUUAUUGGGCGUAAAGCGCGCGCAGGUGGUUUCUUAAGUCUGAUGUGAAAGCCCACGGCUCAACCGUGGAGGGUCAUUGGAAACUGGGGAACUUGAGUGCAGAAGAGGAAAGUGGAAUUCCAAGUGUAGCGGUGAAAUGCGUAGAUAUUUGGAGGAACACCAGUGGCGAAGGCGACUUUCUGGUCUGUAACUGACACUGAGGCGCGAAAGCGUG